UCCCUGAUGGCUCAGACGGUAAAGCAUCUGCCUGCAAUGCGGGAGACCCAGGUUCGAUUCCUGGGUCGGGAA
This 72-nucleotide transfer RNA is filed under the name Bos taurus (domestic cattle). It matches the Rfam family "tRNA". From Rfam's summary of the family: Transfer RNA (tRNA) molecules are approximately 80 nucleotides in length. Lineage: Eukaryota; Metazoa; Chordata; Mammalia; Artiodactyla; Bovidae. RNAcentral also lists the same sequence under 3 other names. The record is from Rfam by way of RNAcentral.